Molecule: ribosomal RNA, 240 nt
Filed under: Triticum aestivum (bread wheat)
Lineage: Eukaryota; Viridiplantae; Streptophyta; Magnoliopsida; Poales; Poaceae
Description: partial small subunit ribosomal RNA
Source: RNAcentral
AUGCUGCUCGACACUUUUGGCAACGCCUCGGGUCUUCGAACCAACUUCCUCAAGUGUUCCGCUUCACCCAUCAGAUGCGGCGACAACCACCACGCCACCAUUGGCGCCUCCCUCUCCUGCCCGCUGGCGGAAUUUCCCAUCAAAUACCUAGGGCUACCGCUCUCAACUCGCAAAGUGCCGGCCUCCGCCCUCCUUCCGCUUGUCGACAAGCUUGCCAUGAAGCUCGCCACCUGGAAAGCC